RNAcentral lists this long non-coding RNA (1258 nucleotides) under Piliocolobus tephrosceles (Ugandan red Colobus). Its description in RNAcentral is "lncRNA (ENSPTEG00000002370.1)". The record is from RNAcentral. Lineage: Eukaryota; Metazoa; Chordata; Mammalia; Primates; Cercopithecidae.
AAUGUUAAUUUUAUUAAUUUCAAUAUGGUAAAUGAAAAAAAAAAAUUUAAUAAUAACAAUAAUCAUAAUAGUAGUAAUAAUAAUAAUAAUAAUAGUAACAACAGUAAUAGUAACAAUAAUAAUAGUAGUACUUGUAGUAGUAGUAGUAGUGGUAAUAGUAAUAAUAGUAAUAAUAAUAAUAAUAAUAAUAACAGUAAUAAUAAUAACAGUAAUAAUAAUAAUAAUAAUAAUAACAUGAGCUUAAUGAGCAAUUGUGCAAACACUUCUUCUCAUGUUGGCAUGUAUUUUGAAAAUAAUCCAAAUGGUAGCAGUAGUAAUAGUAGUAGUAGUAAUGGUGGUGGGGUGGUAGGAAGUAUGGGUAAUGGUAUCAGUGUAGGUGUAGGUGGUUUAAAUAAUGUCCAUCAAACUAAUAAUUAUACUAUGCCAAAAAAUAUUAAUGAAAAUUACAUACUUGAUAUAAACAUGCUUAAUAACAUCAAUAACAGUAAUAGUAGUAAUAAUAAUAAUAAUGACAUGAGCGGAUUAAUAAAUAAUAAAAAUAACCAUUUGAAACUUAAUUCUAAUAUACGAAAUGGAUUAGGAUGUUCUAUAAAUACAAACAUUAAUGCAAAGUCAAAUCAAAGCAAUAAUGAUAAUAAUUCAACACACAAUCAUGGUCAUAGUAACCAUAACUCACCAUUUGGUAAUAAUUUAUAUGACAACCAUAUGAUGCAUAGGAAUAUAAAAAGUAUGAUGUACCCCUGUGGUAAUGUGAAAGAGACGAAAACAGUUAAAAAUAAUCUUAUGCAUAAUAACAGAAACCCUAACAACAGUAGUACCAGUAACAAUAACAAUAACAAUAACAAUAACGGUAACAACAAAAACAAAACCAACAACAGCAGUAACAGUAACAGUAAUAUUAGUGACUACAACACAGAUGAUGUGUUACAUAGCAUAAACUACGCAAAUUACCAUGGUAACAUGGGUAGUACUAAUGAUAAUAGAAAUAUGCUUACAUAUAAUAAUAUCCUUGAUUAUGAAAGAGUAAUGAAUAACCAAAACUAUAAUGAUAGAAAUAACACAGAUGACAAUGUGUCUAUUGGUGAGGACAUACAUAACAGUUAGCGAUUUUUAGGAUCUGUUUGGACUAGCAUAUAUAUAUAUAUAUAUAUAUAUAAGGGAUAAAUGCGUAUACAUAUUAGGAAAUACAUAUUAAACAGCAAAAAAAAAAAAGACAAAAAAAAAUAAAAUAGACAAAUAAAUAAAAAAGUAAGUAAUU